RNAcentral lists this non-coding RNA (47 nucleotides) under Echinostoma caproni. Lineage: Eukaryota; Metazoa; Platyhelminthes; Trematoda; Plagiorchiida; Echinostomatidae. The record is from RNAcentral.
GCACUACUGACGAGUCCCAAACAGGACGGAAAACAGCUGUCCAGUGC